GGGUUGUGAGGUUAAGCGACUAAGCGUACACGGUGGAUGCCCUGGCAGUCAGAGGCGAUGAAGGACGUGCUAAUCUGCGAAAAGCGUCGGUAAGGUGAUAUGAACCGUUAUAACCGGCGAUGUCCGAAUGGGGAAACCCAGUGUGAUUCGUCACACUAUCGUUAACUGAAUACAUAGGUUAACGAGGCGAACCGGGGGAACUGAAACAUCUAAGUACCCCGAGGAAAAGAAAUCAACCGAGAUUCCCCCAGUAGCGGCGAGCGAACGGGGAGCAGCCCAGAGUCUGAAUCAGCUUGUGUGUUAGUGGAACGGUCUGGAAAGUCCGACGGUACAGGGUGAUAGUCCCGUACACCAAAAUGCACAGGUUGUGAACUCGAAGAGUAGGGCGGGACACGUGGUAUCCUGUCUGAAUAUGGGGGGACCAUCCUCCAAGGCUAAAUACUCCUGACUGACCGAUAGUGAACCAGUACCGUGAGGGAAAGGCGAAAAGAACCCCGGCGAGGGGAGUGAAAAAGAACCUGAAACCGUGUACGUACAAGCAGUGGGAGCACCUUCGGGUGUGACUGCGUACCUUUUGUAUAAUGGGUCAGCGACUUAUAUUCUGUAGCAAGGUUAACCGUAUAGGGGAGCCGCAGGGAAACCGAGUCUUAACUGGGCGUUAAGUUGCAGGGUAUAGACCCGAAACCCGGUGAUCUAGCCAUGGGCAGGUUGAAGGUUGGGUAACACUAACUGGAGGACCGAACCGACUAAUGUUGAAAAAUUAGCGGAUGACUUGUGGCUGGGGGUGAAAGGCCAAUCAAACCGGGAGAUAGCUGGUUCUCCCCGAAAGCUAUUUAGGUAGCGCCUCGUGAACUCAUCUUCGGGGGUAGAGCACUGUUUCGGCUAGGGGGUCAUCCCGACUUACCAACCCGAUGCAAACUACGAAUACCGAAGAAUGUUAUCACGGGAGACACACGGCGGGUGCUAACGUCCGUCGUGAAGAGGGAAACAACCCAGACCGCCAGCUAAGGUCCCAAAGUCAUGGUUAAGUGGGAAACGAUGUGGGAAGGCACAGACAGCCAGGAUGUUGGCUUAGAAGCAGCCAUCAUUUAAAGAAAGCGUAAUAGCUCACUGGUCGAGUCGGCCUGCGCGGAAGAUGUAACGGGGCUAAACCAUGCACCGAAGCUGCGGCAGCGACACUAUGUGUUGUUGGGUAGGGGAGCGUUCUGUAAGCCUGCGAAGGUGACCUGUGAGGGUUGCUGGAGGUAUCAGAAGUGCGAAUGCUGACAUAAGUAACGAUAAAGCGGGUGAAAAGCCCGCUCGCCGGAAGACCAAGGGUUCCUGUCCAACGUUAAUCGGGGCAGGGUGAGUCGACCCCUAAGGCGAGGCCGAAAGGCGUAGUCGAUGGGAAACAGGUUAAUAUUCCUGUACUUGGUGUUACUGCGAAGGGGGGACGGAGAAGGCUAUGUUAGCCGGGCGACGGUUGUCCCGGUUUAAGCAUGUAGGCUGAUUGUCCAGGCAAAUCCGGAUAAUCAAGGCUGAGGUGUGAUGACGAGGCACUACGGUGCUGAAGUAACAAAUGCCCUGCUUCCAGGAAAAGCCUCUAAGCAUCAGGUAACAUCAAAUCGUACCCCAAACCGACACAGGUGGUCAGGUAGAGAAUACCAAGGCGCUUGAGAGAACUCGGGUGAAGGAACUAGGCAAAAUGGUGCCGUAACUUCGGGAGAAGGCACGCUGGUGUGUAGGUGAAGUCCCUGCGGAUGGAGCUGAGACCAGUCGAAGAUACCAGCUGGCUGCAACUGUUUAUUAAAAACACAGCACUGUGCAAACACGAAAGUGGACGUAUACGGUGUGACGCCUGCCCGGUGCCGGAAGGUUAAUUGAUGGGGUUAUCCGUAAGGAGAAGCUCUUGAUCGAAGCCCCGGUAAACGGCGGCCGUAACUAUAACGGUCCUAAGGUAGCGAAAUUCCUUGUCGGGUAAGUUCCGACCUGCACGAAUGGCGUAAUGAUGGCCAGGCUGUCUCCACCCGAGACUCAGUGAAAUUGAACUCGCUGUGAAGAUGCAGUGUACCCGCGGCAAGACGGAAAGACCCCGUGAACCUUUACUAUAGCUUGACACUGAACAUUGAGCCUUGAUGUGUAGGAUAGGUGGGAGGCUUUGAAGCGUGGACGCCAGUCUGCGUGGAGCCAACCUUGAAAUACCACCCUUUAAUGUUUGAUGUUCUAACGUUGGCCCCUUACCGGGGUUGCGGACAGUGUCUGGUGGGUAGUUUGACUGGGGCGGUCUCCUCCCAAAGCGUAACGGAGGAGCACGAAGGUUAGCUAAUCCUGGUCGGACAUCAGGAGGUUAGUGCAAUGGCAUAAGCUAGCUUGACUGCGAGCGUGACGGCGCGAGCAGGUGCGAAAGCAGGUCAUAGUGAUCCGGUGGUUCUGAAUGGAAGGGCCAUCGCUCAACGGAUAAAAGGUACUCCGGGGAUAACAGGCUGAUACCGCCCAAGAGUUCAUAUCGACGGCGGUGUUUGGCACCUCGAUGUCGGCUCAUCACAUCCUGGGGCUGAAGUAGGUCCCAAGGGUAUGGCUGUUCGCCAUUUAAAGUGGUACGCGAGCUGGGUUUAGAACGUCGUGAGACAGUUCGGUCCCUAUCUGCCGUGGGCGCUGGAGAAUUGAGGGGGGCUGCUCCUAGUACGAGAGGACCGGAGUGGACGCAUCACUGGUGUUCGGGUUGUCAUGCCAAUGGCACUGCCCGGUAGCUAAAUGCGGAAGAGAUAAGUGCUGAAAGCAUCUAAGCACGAAACUUGCCCCGAGAUGAGUUCUCCCUGAGACUUUAAGUCUCCUGAAGGAACGUUGAAGACGACGACGUUGAUAGGCCGGGUGUGUAAGCGCAACGAUGCGUUGAGCUAACCGGUACUAAUGAACCGUGAGGCUUAACCUUACAACGCCGAAG
Molecule: ribosomal RNA, 2923 nt
Filed under: Klebsiella pneumoniae
Lineage: Bacteria; Pseudomonadati; Pseudomonadota; Gammaproteobacteria; Enterobacterales; Enterobacteriaceae
Also listed under: 1 other name
Description: bacterial LSU rRNA
Rfam family: Bacterial large subunit ribosomal RNA
Source: RNAcentral